This 633-nucleotide ribosomal RNA is filed under the name uncultured Inocybe. RNAcentral's name for it is "eukaryotic LSU rRNA". The stretch from base 294 to 447 matches the Rfam family "5.8S ribosomal RNA". Lineage: Eukaryota; Fungi; Basidiomycota; Agaricomycetes; Agaricales; Cortinariaceae. The record is from RNAcentral.
AAGUCGUAACAAGGUUUCCGUAGGUGAACCUGCGGAAGGAUCAUUAUCGAAUAAACUUGAACAGGCUGUUGCUGUCCCUUCACUGGGUAUGUGCACGCUUGCCAUCUUUAUUUUCUCCAACUGUGCACCUUUUGUAGACCUGAAAUGAUCUUUUUUGAAUCGAGUUGGGGACUGCUGUGCCAACCACCGGCUUUCCCUUGUAUUUUUUCAGGUUUAUGUCAUUUGUUUCACAAACCUAUGGAUUUGUUUUAGAAUGUUGAAUCAGGGUGCUUUUAUGUACCUUUAAUAUAUACAACUUUCAGCAACGGAUCUCUUGGCUCUCGCAUCGAUGAAGAACGCAGCGAAAUGCGAUAAGUAAUGUGAAUUGCAGAAUUCAGUGAAUCAUCGAAUCUUUGAACGCAUCUUGCGCUCCUUGGUAUUCCGAGGAGCAUGCCUGUUUGAGUGUCAUUUAAAUUCUCAACCACAUGCACAUUGCUGUGCCCUGUGGCUUGGAUAUUGGGGGGCAUUAUUUGCAGGCCUUGAAAAAGAGGUCUGCUCCCCUGAAAUGUAUUAGCGGUAUCUGCUACUACAGGUGUGAUAAUUUAUCUGUGCCUUUAGUAUUGUGCAAUGGUUAUGCUGCUUCUAAACAACAUG